Molecule: ribosomal RNA, 732 nt
Filed under: Salmonella enterica
Lineage: Bacteria; Pseudomonadati; Pseudomonadota; Gammaproteobacteria; Enterobacterales; Enterobacteriaceae
Description: partial 23S ribosomal RNA
Rfam family: Bacterial large subunit ribosomal RNA
Source: RNAcentral
GGGUUGUGAGGUUAAGCGACUAAGCGUACACGGUGGAUGCCCUGGCAGUCAGAGGCGAUGAAGGGCGUGCUAAUCUGCGAUAAGCGCCGGUAAGGUGAUAUGAACCGUUAUAACCGGCGAUACCCGAAUGGGGAAACCCAGUGUGAUUCGUCACACUAUCAUUAACUGAAUCCAUAGGUUAAUGAGGCGAACCGGGGGAACUGAAACAUCUAAGUACCCCGAGGAAAAGAAAUCAACCGAGAUUCCCCCAGUAGCGGCGAGCGAACGGGGAGGAGCCCAGAGCCUGAAUCAGCAUGUGUGUUAGUGGAAGCGUCUGGAAAGGCGCGCGAUACAGGGUGACAGCCCCGUACACAAAAGCGUAUGUGCUGUGAGCUCGAUGAGUAGGGCGGGACACGUGGUAUCCUGUCUGAAUAUGGGGGGACCAUCCUCCAAGGCUAAAUACUCCUGACUGACCGAUAGUGAACCAGUACCGUGAGGGAAAGGCGAAAAGAACCCCGGCGAGGGGAGUGAAAAAGAACCUGAAACCGUGUACGUACAAGCAGUGGGAGCACCCUUUGGGGUGUGACUGCGUACCUUUUGUAUAAUGGGUCAGCGACUUAUAUUCUGUAGCAAGGUUAACCGAAUAGGGGAGCCGGAGGGAAACCGAGUCUUAAUUGGGCGUUAAGUUGCAGGGUAUAGACCCGAAACCCGGUGAUCUAGCCAUGGGCAGGUUGAAGGUUGGGUAACACUAAC